RNAcentral lists this ribosomal RNA (476 nucleotides) under uncultured organism. RNAcentral's name for it is "partial 16S ribosomal RNA". It matches the Rfam family "Bacterial small subunit ribosomal RNA", at positions 334 to 801 of the family's 1533-position model. The record is from RNAcentral.
CACUCCUGCGGGAGGCAGCAGUGGGGAAUUUUGGACAAUGGGGGCAACCCUGAUCCAGCAAUGCCGCGUGAGUGAAGAAGGCCUUCGGGUUGUAAAGCUCUUUUGUCAGGGAAGAAACGGUAGUAGCGAAUAACUAUUACUAAUGACGGUACCUGAAGAAUAAGCACCGGCUAACUACGUGCCAGCAGCCGCGGUAAUACGUAGGGUGCAAGCGUUAAUCGGAAUUACUGGGCGUAAAGCGUGCGCAGGCGGUUGUGUAAGUCAGAUGUGAAAUCCCCGGGCUCAACCUGGGAAUUGCAUUUGAGACUGCACGGCUAGAGUGUGUCAGAGGGGGGUAGAAUUCCACGUGUAGCAGUGAAAUGCGUAGAUAUGUGGAGGAAUACCGAUGGCGAAGGCAGCCCCCUGGGAUAACACUGACGCUCAUGCACGAAAGCGUGGGGAGCAAACAGGAUUAGAUACCCUUGUAGUCCCAUGAU